Molecule: ribosomal RNA, 497 nt
Filed under: uncultured bacterium
Lineage: Bacteria
Description: partial 16S ribosomal RNA
Rfam family: Bacterial small subunit ribosomal RNA
Source: RNAcentral
GAUGAACGCUGGCGGCGUGCCUAAUACAUGCAAGUCGAGCGAACAGAUGAGGAGCUUGCUCCUCUGACGUUAGCGGCGGACGGGUGAGUAACACGUGGUUAACCUACCUAUAAGACUGGGAUAACUUCGGGAAACCGGAGCUAAUACCGGAUAAUAUAUUGAACCGCAUGGUUCAAUAGUGAAAGACGGUUUUGCUGUCACUUAUAGAUGGAUCCGCGCCGCAUUAGCUAGUUGGUAAGGUAACGGCUUACCAAGGCAACGAUGCGUAGCCGACCUGAGAGGGUGAUCGGCCACACUGGAACUGAGACACGGUCCAGACUCCUACGGGAGGCAGCAGUAGGGAAUCUUCCGCAAUGGGCGAAAGCCUGACGGAGUAACGCCGCGUGAGUGAUGAAGGUCUUCGGAUCGUAAAACUCUGUUAUUAGGGAAGAACAAAUGUGUAAGUAACUAUGCACGUCUUGACGGUACCUAAUCAGAAAGCCACGGCUAACUACGUG